Molecule: ribosomal RNA, 474 nt
Filed under: uncultured bacterium
Lineage: Bacteria
Description: bacterial SSU rRNA
Rfam family: Bacterial small subunit ribosomal RNA
Source: RNAcentral
GACGAACGCUGGCGGCGUGCUUAACACAUGCAAGUCACGGGGGCCCGCAAGGGUAACCGGCGAACGGGUGCGUAACACGUGAACAACCUGCCCUCGUGUGGGGGAUAGCCAUGCUAACGCGUGGGUAAUACCGCAUACGUUCCCCUGGAGGAGUCUCUGGGGGAGGAAAGCUCCGGCGCACGGGGGAGGGGUUCGCGGCCUAUCAGCUAGUUGGCGGGGUAAUGGCCCACCAAGGCGACGACGGGUAGCUGGUCNGAGAGGAUGGCCAGCCACAUUGGGACUGAGAGACGGCCCAGACUCCUACGGGAGGCAGCAGUGGGGAAUCUUGCGCAAUGGCCGAAAGGCUGACGCAGCGACGCCGCGUGUGGGAUGAAGCAUUUCGGUGUGUAAACCACUGUUGCCCGGGACGAACAGCCUUUUCGAGAGGUCUGACGGUACCGGGUGAGGAAGCACCGGCUAACUCCGUGCCAGCAG